Molecule: unclassified non-coding RNA, 253 nt
Filed under: uncultured Dehalococcoidia bacterium
Lineage: Bacteria; Bacillati; Chloroflexota; Dehalococcoidia
Description: contains 16S-23S intergenic spacer region
Rfam family: Bacterial small subunit ribosomal RNA
Source: RNAcentral
AACGUAGGAGGCGAACGUUAUUCGGAUUUACUGGGCGUAAAGGGAGCGUAGGCGGUUCCUUAAGUCAGAUGUGAAAUCUUCUGGCUCAAUCAGAAGGCGUCAUUUGAUACUGAGGGACUUGAGAGCAGCAGAGGGAAAUGGAAUCCCCGGUGUAGCGGUGAAAUGCGUAGAUAUCGGGGAGAACACCAGUGGCGAAGGCGAUUUCCCAGGUUGUUUCUGACGCUGAGGCUCGAAAGCGUGGGGAGCGAAGCGG